AUUGAACGCUGGCGGAAUGCUUUACACAUGCAAGUCGAACGGCAGCACGGACUUCGGUCUGGUGGCGAGUGGCGAACGGGUGAGUAAUGUAUCGGAACGUGCCCAGUCGUGGGGGAUAACGUAGUGAAAAUUACGCUAAUACCGCAUACGAUCUAUGGAUGAAAGCGGGGGAUCGCAAGACCUCGCGCGAUUGGAGCGGCCGAUAUCAGAUUACGUAGUUGGUGGGGUAAAGGCCCACCAAGCCAAAGAUCUGUAGCUGGUCUGAGAGGACACCCAGCCACACUGGAACUGAGACACGGUCCAGACUCCUACGGGAGGCAGCAGUGGGGAAUUUUGGACAAUGGGCGAAAGCCUGAUCCAGCCAUGCCGCGUGCAGGAUGAAGGCCCUCGGGUUGUAAACUGCUUUUGUACAGAACGAAAAGGUUUCUACUAAUACUAGGAGCUCAUGACGGUACUGUAAGAAUAAGCACCGGCUAACUACGUGCCAGCCGCCGCAGUAA
This 500-nucleotide ribosomal RNA is filed under the name uncultured bacterium. Its description in RNAcentral is "partial 16S ribosomal RNA". It matches the Rfam family "Bacterial small subunit ribosomal RNA", at positions 30 to 523 of the family's 1533-position model. The record is from RNAcentral.